GUGAAACGCGAUUCCGGAGGUACUGGCGCUGGGGAGGAGGAGGAGGGCCCGCGGGCCCGCAGGAGAAGAGGGAGGGGCAGGCUGGGAGGCGCUUCCCCCCUCCUUCCUCCUCGGGGAGCUGCCAAAAAGAAACUCGGCGUCGCGCCCAAGUGUGUGCGUGCGUGUCUGUGUGUGUGGCGGCGUGGGCGCGCGAGUGGGGACGCGCAGGGCCUGGAGGGGCGGCGCGGGCCCUUUAAGGAGCCAGAGGGGGCCGGGCCGGGGCGCGUCGCUGCGGGCGGGGAGCCGGGAGCAGGGAGGCCGAGCCACCGCCUCCCGGGCUCCCGCCCCGCCCCCUCCUCCCCCUCCCGCCGCCGCCGCCGCCGCCGCCGCCACCGCCGCCGCGGCCGCCGGGGAGCGCGGAGCCGCGGGCAGGCCGGGCCGCACCGGAGCCCCGCGUCCGCCCGCGCCCCGCCCGAGCCCUGCGCCCUGCGCCCGCGCCCUGCGCUCCGCGAUGCGCGCCAACUUGCGGGCCGGGGACCCAGGGCCGGCGCCCUAAGAGGCGGCGGCGGGAGGAUCGCGUCCCGACCCGAGGCCGGGCCUGCUGCGCGCCCCCAGCCCGAUCGGCACCGCCACUUGCCUGAGCGCCCCGGCGGCCCGAGCGCGCCCCAAGCCCGGGCGCCACCGCUGCCACCUCGGCGAGGUCUCCCUGCGUCUUUGAGGACACAGCCUUGCUGGAGGCAGUUUCUGGUGCCAGUGACGGGGUGGCCUGUGAGCUGA
This 756-nucleotide long non-coding RNA is filed under the name Macaca mulatta (Rhesus monkey). RNAcentral's name for it is "lncRNA (ENSMMUG00000052140.1)". The record is from RNAcentral. Lineage: Eukaryota; Metazoa; Chordata; Mammalia; Primates; Cercopithecidae.